AUUGAACGCUGGCGGCAUGCCUUACACAUGCAAGUCGAACGGUAACAGGUUAAGCUGACGAGUGGCGAACGGGUGAGUAAUAUAUCGGAACGUGCCCAGUCGUGGGGGAUAACUGCUCGAAAGAGCAGCUAAUACCGCAUACGACCUGAGGGUGAAAGCGGGGGAUCGCAAGACCUCGCGCGAUUGGAGCGGCCGAUAUCAGAUUAGGUAGUUGGUGGGGUAAAAGCCUACCAAGCCAACGAUCUGUAGCUGGUCUGAGAGGACGACCAGCCACACUGGGACUGAGACACGGCCCAGACUCCUACGGGAGGCAGCAGUGGGGAAUUUUGGACAAUGGACGCAAGUCUGAUCCAGCCAUGCCGCGUGCGGGAAGAAGGCCUUCGGGUUGUAAACCGCUUUUGUCAGGGAAGAAACGCUCUGGGUUAAUACCUCGGGGUAAUGACGGUACCUGAAGAAUAAGCACCGGCUAACUACGUGCCAGCCGCCGCGGUAA
Molecule: ribosomal RNA, 493 nt
Filed under: uncultured bacterium
Lineage: Bacteria
Description: partial 16S ribosomal RNA
Rfam family: Bacterial small subunit ribosomal RNA
Source: RNAcentral